This 253-nucleotide ribosomal RNA is filed under the name uncultured bacterium. RNAcentral's name for it is "partial 16S ribosomal RNA". It matches the Rfam family "Bacterial small subunit ribosomal RNA", at positions 524 to 776 of the family's 1533-position model. The record is from RNAcentral.
UACGAGGGGGGCAAGCGUUGUUCGGAAUUAUUGGGCGUAAAGGGCGCGUAGGCGGUGCGGUAAGUCACCUGUGAAACCUCUAGGCUUAACCUAGAGCCUGCAGGCGAAACUGCCGUGCUUGAGGGUGGGAGAGGUGCGUGGAAUUCCUGGUGUAGCGGUGAAAUGCGUAGAUAUCUGGAGGAACAUCAGUGGCGAAGGCGACACCCUGGACUCAUACUGACACUGAGGUGCGAAAGCGUGGGGAGCAAACAGG